UUCACAUAUGUAUUUACCAUAGACUGUAUAUAAUAUACAUGAGUAGAUAGGACACGCCCCUUUGAGCUGCGUGCUACAGCGAGGCUAAGCUAGUGGGGGCAAAGUUUCAGUGCAUUCCGUUGAUGUAGACGGCGUGAAAACGGAAACAAGAAGUAUGCCGUCUCACUGUGCUGCAUACAAUUACACACUACGUCGUACGAUUGAGACAAGGAAACUUGGAAUGACUUUUCAUAGGUAAGGAUAGUUUUUGGCUCUUUUUUCAUUAUGAAAUCUUGUUGAGAGCUUCCAGUCUAUGAGAGCUAACUAGUUAGCCACUAGCAAAACGCUGAGAAACCAACUCUGAUCAUUGGCAGCUCCGUAGUCAGAAACGUGAAGCUAGCGACACCAGUGACCAUAGUAAAAUGCCUCCCAGGGGCCAGAGCGGGCGACACAGAAGCAAAUUUGAAACUGCUGGCUAAAGAUAAUCGUAAAUACAGUAAGACUGUUAUUCAUGUCGGCGGUAAUGACACCCGGUUACGCCAAUCGGAGGUCACCAAAAUUAGUGUGGCAUCGGUGUGUAACUUUGCCAAAACCAUGUCGGACUCCGUAGUUUUCUCUGGACCCCUGCCUGAUCUGACCAGCGAUUAUAUGUUUAGCUGCAUGUCGUCGUUUCGCCGCUGGGUGUCUACGUGGUGUACUGCAAACGACGUUGCCUUUAUAGACAAUUGGAGCUCUUUCUGGGGAAAACCUGGUCUGAUUAGGAGAGACGGCAUCCAUCCCACUUUGGCUGGUGCAACUCUCAUAUCUAGAAAUAUGGCUGAUUUUAUUAGAACUCCUAAAGCAUGACAACCCAGAGUUCAGACCAGGAUGCAGAGUUGUAGUCUUCCACACCUCUCUGCAGUUUCCUCUCAGCUGUCACCCUCCAGUAAUUCAGUUAGCUUUAUUGAGACUGUGUCUGUCCCUCGACCACAAAAAUUCAAUAAAUUAAACAAUUCAAAAAUAAACAAAAUACAUAGUAAUCAUAAAAAUGUAAUUAAAAUUAAUACCACUAUUUCAACUGAGCGAAGAAACAGGACAAUUAAAUGUGGUCUGUUAAAUAUUAGAUCUCUCUCGUCUAAAUCUCUGUUAGUAAAUGAUUUGAUAACUGAUCACCAGAUUGAUUUGUUCUGUUUGACUGAAACCUGGUUGCAGCAGGAAGAAUAUGUUAGUCUAAAUGAAUCAACUCCUACUAGUCAUACUAACUGUCAUGUUCCUCCAAUCACAGGCCGAGGAGGAGGAGUGGCAGCAAUUUACCUCUCUAGCUUAAAAAUUAACCAGAGACCUAAACCUCUAGUUACAGUUCAUUUGAAAAUCUUACUCUCAGUCUCUCUCAUCCAGAUUUAAAAGCUCAGAAACCAGUUUUAUUUGUUGUUGUAUAUCGUCCUCCUGCUCCUUACUCUGAGUUUUUAUCUCAAUUCUCAGACUUUUUAUCUGAUUUAGUGCUCAGCUCAGAUAAAGUCAUUAUUGUGGGUGACUUCAGCAUUCAUGUUGACGUGGACAGUGACAGCCUUACGACUGCUUUUAAUUCAAUAUUAGACUCAAUUGGGUUUUCUCAACAUGUAAAUAAACCAACUCAUAGUUUUAAUCAUACCCUUGACCUCGUUCUGACUUAUGGCAUAGAAAUCAAACAGUUAACAGUAUUUCCCCGGAACCCUCUUCUUUCUGACCAUUUUAUGAUAACAUUUCAAUUUACAACAAUAGAUUGUAUAGGAGUUAAAAAUAAAUAUCAUUACAGUAGAUGUCUGUCUCACAAUUCGGUGACUAAAUUUAAGGAAAUAAUACCCUCUCUAUUUAGUUCAGCACCACUUACUGAUAAAAUGAGAGGGAAAUAUUAUAAUUUUACCCCCACAGAAGUGGAUUAUAUUGUUAAUAAUGCUGCAGCCUCACUGCGUACAACACUUGAUAGUGUUGCACCUGUAAAAAAGAAAGUUCUAUCUCAGAGAGGACCUGCUCCUUGGUAUAAUUCCCAGCUGCGGACUUUAAAGCAGGCGUCCCGAAAGCUGGAAAGGAAGUGGUACUCCACUAAUUUAGAGGAAGUUUAUGUAGCUUGGAAAAUAGUCUAGUAAUUUAUAAAAAAGCUCUUCGUAAUGCCAGGACAACAUAUUAUUCAUCUUUAAUAGAGGAAAACAAGAACAACCCCAGGUUUCUCUUCAGCACUGUAGCCAGGCUGACAAAGAGUCAGAGCUCUGUUGAAACUUGUAUUCCUUUAGCUUUGAGCAGUAACAACUUCAUGAGCUUCUUUACAAAUAAAAUUAUUACGAUUAGAGAAAAAAUUACUCUGGCCCUUCCUACAAAUGUCACAGAUGUAUCAUCGAGUACAGAUACUUUAGAAUCGGCUGUAAGACCAGAUGGAUAUUUAGAAUUUUUCACUCCCAUACAUCUCUCUGAACUAAUUUCAGUAGUUUCUACAUCCAAACCAUCGACAUGUCUUUUAGAUCCUAUCCCAACUAGACUGUUCAAGGAGGCUUUACCUUUAAUUAAUUCCUCAAUGUUAGAUCUGAUUAAUCUCUCCCUAGUAACAGGCUAUGUGCCACAGGCUUUUAAGGUUGCUGUAAUCAAACCUUUACUUAAAAAGCCCACUCUAAAUCCAGAUGUUUUAGCCAACUAUAGACCAAUUUCCAACCUCCCAUUUCUCUCCAAAAUUCUGGAAAGAACAGUUGCAAAUCAAUUAUGUGAACAUUUACAAAGGAAUAGCUUGUUUGAAGAGUUUCAGUCAGGCUUCAGAGUGCAUCAUAGCACAGAAACAGCUCUGGGGAAAGUUACUGAUGACCUUCUCAUAGCGUCAGAUAAUGGACUGGUCUCUAUACUUAUUUUAUUGGACCUUAGUGCAGCAUUCGAUACAAUCGACCACAAACUUUUAUUACAGCGACUAGAACAUUCUAUUGGCGGACACCCUCUCUAUUUUUAAGACCGGGCUUAAAACCUUCCUCUUUGACAAAGCUUAUAGUUUGGGCUGACUGGGGGACCCUGACGGGGUGAGCUGGUGUUUUCAUUUGCAAAACUGACUUCCCCUCGACGUCCCUUUAGUUUGCCCCUAGUUAUGCUGCUAUAGGCCUAGACUGCUGGGGAACCUCUCUUGAUGCGCUGAGCCCUUCUCUAACUACCUAUGUAUUUACUAUAUAUACCAUUAUUGCAUUACACUCACUGUGUUUCUUUCUGUGUCCUUUCUCCGAGUGUCCCUGGUCCCAGAGCUGGAUGCUUCAGAUGUGUGGUUGUUCUCCCACCUCCAGCUGCCCAUUUCCACCGAUCUACUCUGCAUUGCCUUUACUAUACUUGAUUUGCUCAUCUACAUAUUUUUGAAUUUACCACCAGCUAUAUAUGUAGUAUAUUUAAUGCCAGAGCCGUACACCAUAGCAGUAAACUAUAAUUAGUUUCCCUGUUAGUUGUGCUUUGCAUGUAUCAUCUGUCUUAUCAUGCAUGUGUUAUACUGUGUGUUUUAUGGUCCUUGUGUCCCCCCCACCUCUCUAUCUCUACCUCUACCCCUCUACCCCUCUAUCUCUACCCCUCUAUCUCUAUCCCUCUACCUCUACCUCUCUACCUCUUCUGUCCCUCUCAACCCGCCCGGCCAGCAGGCAGAUGGGUCCCCCCACAUUAGAGCCGGGUUCUGCUUGAGGUUUUUUUCUCUGUUAAAAGGGUGUUUUCCUUACCACUGUUGCCUUUUGGCUUGCUCUGGGGGUCAGGCAUAUGGGUUCUGUAAAGCGUCUUGAGACAAUUUGACUGUAAUUGGCACUAUAUAAAUAAAAUUGAAUUGAAUUAAGGCGAGCUAGCAGCUUGACAACCAAAUACGAUUAAUAGUAGCUGUAGUAUAGUUGUACAAGCAGUAGUAGUAAUACUAAAAGUACAAGCAGCAGUAGUAGUAUAAACAGAUGUUAGUCAUAGAAGUAGUAUCAGCAUUUGUAAUAGUAUUACAAGUUGUAGUAGCAGUGCCAGUAUCAGCAGCAGUAGUUAGUGUACUACCACUACUACUACUAGUAGUAGUCACAUUGCUAUUACUACCACCAAUACUACCAAUAGUACUUAUAAAGCCUAACUCUUGUAUAUCCAGAUUACCAUCUAUGUUCUUCCUCCAAACCCAUUUUAUGAUUGGGAUUACAGGCAGUUCUUUAGGACUGCUCUCAAAUAAGUGAAAUGUUACUAAACAAGGUUAUACUUAUCAAAUUAAAUAGCUCUGGUCUCCAGUAUAUUGGCGAAUUCGGUUCUUUGUACUUAAUUUAUUAGCAUGAUUUCUUUUUAAUAUGUUGUCUACAGACUUAAUUACUUCUCUGUCUACUUUUCUUACUCCAUGUAGGUUUCCCAGAGACUAUGGGUUGAGGAGGAAUUGGAAGUUUGUCGGCUUAGACCUGGUGUCAUUCCAUCAGUGUUAAACUUCCCGGCUUAUCUUGGAAGAGUACGUGCCAGAAAGACCACGACCAAGCAGCCUUGAGAUCUUAGGCAGCGUCUCCCUGAGGUCCCUCUCUAUCUCCCCACACAUCCACCAACCACUGGAACACAUCUCCAAAGUUCUGCCGGGCCAGCUCAGCUUCCCCUCAGAAGAAGUUCCACCAGAUGAAGGAGCCUUUUGAGAGGCAGCUGGCAUCGUGAUUGGACUGUACUUUGGUCUGUUCUAAUCCAGCUUCAGCUCCAGAGACGGCAGGUGGGACGAGUCAACGGAGGCCGGGUGGACGAAGGCAUGCAGCUGAGUACAAUCCAGAAAACAACAGAGGAGGAGUGCAGUGACCCAGAGCCAGAACAAACAGAGUAGCAUCGUAUGUCUCUCAGAAAACAUCAUAGUAUAGCCUUUGGUAUGAAAAAACGCCAUCAUAUACAUUGUAUAUUGUACAAAUAACAAGUCAAAGGAAAGAGACAUACAUUGUAGAAUUGUAGUAAUUGUGGGCUGACUGAUUUACUGAUUAUCAGUAUUUUAUUUUUUACUGAUUUACGGUAAUAAAUACAUUUAAAAAUGGUGCUACUUUGGCUCUGAACCUU
Molecule: long non-coding RNA, 4983 nt
Organism: Amphiprion ocellaris (clown anemonefish)
Lineage: Eukaryota; Metazoa; Chordata; Actinopteri; Pomacentridae
Exons: 2
Source: RefSeq, a predicted model, not a curated record